AAUCAUGUAUGUAUAUCAAUCAAGUACUGAUGAAACAGAAGUAUUAUUGGAAAAAAACAAGAAGAGGAGUAAAUUCAAAGACAAAAUGAUUUGAAUUUCUCGGAGAAGGUAAAAGAAGAAGACAGCGUGGAGAAAGAGCCUAGAAUGUUGAACGUCGUGUGGGCUUCACUCUGUACCACUACCACCCCAAAACCCUAGCUUCAUACCCU
RNAcentral lists this long non-coding RNA (209 nucleotides) under Brassica napus (rape). Its description in RNAcentral is "long non-coding RNA (BNAP_LNC012103)". Lineage: Eukaryota; Viridiplantae; Streptophyta; Magnoliopsida; Brassicales; Brassicaceae. The record is from RNAcentral.